RNAcentral lists this ribosomal RNA (433 nucleotides) under uncultured bacterium. Its description in RNAcentral is "partial 16S ribosomal RNA". It matches the Rfam family "Bacterial small subunit ribosomal RNA", at positions 29 to 507 of the family's 1533-position model. The record is from RNAcentral.
AACGAACGCUGGCGGCAUGCCUAACACAUGCAAGUCGAACGAGACCUUCGGGUCUAGUGGCGCACGGGUGCGUAACGCGUGGGAACCUGCCCUUAGGUUCGGAAUAACUCCCCGAAAGGGGUGCUAAUACCGGAUAAUGUCUUCGGACCAAAGAUUUAUCGCCUUUGGAUGGGCCCGCGUUGGAUUAGCUAGUUGGUAGGGUAAAAGCAUACCAAGGCGACGAUCCAUAGCUGGUCUGAGAGGAUGAUCAGCCACACUGGGACUGAGACACGGCCCAGACUCCUACGGGAGGCAGCAGUGGGGAAUAUUGGACAAUGGGCGAAAGCAUGAUCCAGCAAUGCCGCGUGAGUGAUGAAGGCCUUAGGGUUGUAAAGCUCUUUUACCCGGGAUGAUAAUGACAGUACCGGGAGAAUAAGCUCCGGCUAACUCCGUG